CCUCAAAUCAGGUAGGACUACCCGCUGAACUUAAGCAUAUCAAUAAGCGGAGGAAAAGAAACUAACCAGGAUUCCCUUAGUAACUGCGAGUGAAGAGGGAAAAGCUCAAAUUUAAAAUCUGGCGGUCAGUUUGGCCGUCCGAGUUGUAAAUUAGAGAAGCGUUUAUCCGCGCUGGACCGUGCAAAAGUCUCUUGGAAAGGAGCAUCAUAGAGGGUGACAAUCCCGUCUUUGGCACGGACUACCAGGGCAUUUGUGAUGCGCUCUCAAAGAGUCGAGUUGUUUGGGAAUGCAGCUCUAAAUGGGUGGUAAACUCCAUCUAAAGCUAAAUAUUGGCGAGAGACCGAUAGCGCACAAGUACCGUGAGGGAAAGAUGAAAAGGACUUUGAAAAGAGAGUUAAACAGUACGUGAAAUUGUUAAAAGGGAAACGAUUGAAGUCAGUUGUGUUUAUUGGAUUCAGCCGGUCUUCGGUGUACUUCCUUUAAACGGGUCAACAUCAGUUUUGUUCGGUGGAUAAAGGUAUUAGGAAUGUGGCUUCUUCGGAAGUGUUAUAGCCUAGUAUUGCAUACACUGGAGGAGACUGAGGACUGCAGCUCGCCUUUAUGGCCGGGGUUCGCCCACGUUCGAGCUUAGGAUGUUGACAUAAU
This 645-nucleotide ribosomal RNA is filed under the name uncultured Basidiomycota. RNAcentral's name for it is "LSU rRNA". It matches the Rfam family "Eukaryotic large subunit ribosomal RNA", at positions 1 to 635 of the family's 3401-position model. The record is from RNAcentral. Lineage: Eukaryota; Fungi; Basidiomycota.